AAUUUUGGACAUUGGGCGCAAGCCUGAUCCAGCCAUGCCGCGUUAGUGAAGAAGGCCUUCGGGUUGUAAAGCUAUUUCGGACGGCAAGAAAUCGCGCAGGCUAAUACCCUGCGCGUUUGACGGUACCGUCAUAUGAAUCACCGGCUAACUACGUGCACGCAGCCGCGGUAAUACGUAGGGUGCGAGCGUUAAUCGGAAUUACGGGGCGUAAAGCGUGCACAGGCGGUUGAUUAAGACAGGCGUGAAAUCCCCGGGCUUAACCUGGGAACUGCGCUUGUGACUGGUCAGCUAGAGUACGGCAGAGGGGGGUGGAAUUCCACGUGUAGCAGUGAAAUGCGUAGAGAUUUGGAGGAACACCGAUGGCGAAGGCAGCCCCCUGGGCCGAUACUGACGCUCAUGCACGAAAGCGUGGGUAGCAAACAGG
RNAcentral lists this ribosomal RNA (424 nucleotides) under uncultured bacterium. RNAcentral's name for it is "partial 16S ribosomal RNA". It matches the Rfam family "Bacterial small subunit ribosomal RNA", at positions 360 to 776 of the family's 1533-position model. The record is from RNAcentral.